This is a long non-coding RNA of Salvia miltiorrhiza (redroot sage), 499 nucleotides long. RefSeq lists it as uncharacterized. Lineage: Eukaryota; Viridiplantae; Streptophyta; Magnoliopsida; Lamiales; Lamiaceae. The record is from RefSeq and is a predicted model, not a curated record. The transcript is spliced from 3 exons.
AUUAGAGAAACCUUCAAGCUUCCUAAAUCACUUCUAUGUUAGUAUCCUCCAUUAAAUCAAGCCCUAAAACACCUUAUACCCUUGAAUCAAGAGAUAUUGGAAGAAUUAGAACUUGGAGUCUAGAGUGAAGAAAUUCUACUUCUCUAAAAAAAAUCAUUGAAGGAAAGAAGUAAGUUGUCUCCACUUUGACGAGAGCUUGAGCUAAAGUCUUCAGAAUAAGCGAGGAGCGAGAUUGGUCUGGUGCUGGUGGGGAAUUGUUUCGGUCGAUGUGUUUUCUUUACCGCAUUUCCAUUUUGUUGAUAGAGUCUUGAUAUGGAGUCACUUUGAAUUUGAAUCAAGCAAUUUACUCUCGGUUAUGUGUUUUUAUACAUAUAAUCGGUUCACUUUUUGUUGCGAUACUCUGAAUAACAUGUUUCCUUGUGAAUAUUUAUCUAUACCCGCUUUGUAUUUGUUCUUGAGAAUUCUGAUAUUUUUGGAGUUAUGAUGAUGACGACGUUUA